RNAcentral lists this ribosomal RNA (773 nucleotides) under uncultured bacterium. RNAcentral's name for it is "bacterial SSU rRNA". It matches the Rfam family "Bacterial small subunit ribosomal RNA", at positions 8 to 798 of the family's 1533-position model. The record is from RNAcentral.
AGAGUUUGAUCCUGGCUCAGGACGAACGCUGGCGGCGUGCUUAACACAUGCAAGUCGAACGGAAAGGCCCUUCGGGGUACUCGAGUGGCGAACGGGUGAGUAACACGUGGGUGAUCUGCCCUGCACUUUGGGAUAAGCCUGGGAAACUGGGUCUAAUACCGAAUAGGACCACGCGCUUCAUGGUGUGUGGUGGAAAGCUUUUGCGGUGUGGGAUGGGCCCGCGGCCUAUCAGCUUGUUGGUGGGGUAAUGGCCUACCAAGGCGACGACGGGUAGCCGGCCUGAGAGGGUGACCGGCCACACUGGGACUGAGAUACGGCCCAGACUCCUACGGGAGGCAGCAGUGGGGAAUAUUGCACAAUGGGCGCAAGCCUGAUGCAGCGACGCCGCGUGAGGGAUGACGGCCUUCGGGUUGUAAACCUCUUUCAAUAGGGACGAAGCGCAAGUGACGGUGCCUAUAGAAGAAGCACCGGCCAACUACGUGCCAGCAGCCGCGGUAAUACGUAGGGUGCGAGCGUUGUCCGGAAUUACUGGGCGUAAAGAGCUCGUAGGUGGUUUGUCGCGUUGUUCGUGAAAACUCACAGCUUAACUGUGGGCGUGCGGGCGAUACGGGCAGACUAGAGUACUGCAGGGGAGACUGGAAUUCCUGGUGUAGCGGUGGAAUGCGCAGAUAUCAGGAGGAACACCGGUGGCGAAGGCGGGUCUCUGGGCAGUAACUGACGCUGAGGAGCGAAAGCGUGGGGAGCGAACAGGAUUAGAUACCCUGGUAGUCCAA